CGAAGGGCUAGCGUUAUUCGGAUUUACUGGGCGUAAAGCGCACGUAGGCGGAAUUAAGUCAGGGUGAAUCCCGAGGCUCAACCUCGGAACUGCCUUUGAUACUGGGUUUCUUGAGUCCGGAAGAGGUGAGUGGAACUGCGAGUGUAGAGGUGAAAUUCGUAGAUAUUCGCAAGAACACCAGUGGCGAAGGCGGCUCACUGGUCCGGAACUGACGCUGAGGUGCGAAAGCGUGGGGAGCAAACAGGAUU
Molecule: ribosomal RNA, 248 nt
Filed under: uncultured bacterium
Lineage: Bacteria
Description: partial 16S ribosomal RNA
Rfam family: Bacterial small subunit ribosomal RNA
Source: RNAcentral